RNAcentral lists this unclassified non-coding RNA (200 nucleotides) under soil metagenome. RNAcentral describes it as "partial contains internal transcribed spacer 2 and large subunit ribosomal RNA". The record is from RNAcentral.
UAAAUGAAUUAGCUGGACUUGUUUGUGAGGACUGGUUUGACUUGGCGUAAUAAGUAUUUCGCCAAGGACAUUGCUUUGGUAAUGGCCAGCCUCUCAACGACUGUCUGCUUUCUAACUCUUGUGUUCAGUCUCUCAUGAUGUUGACACUUUUUCUCUCAUGAUCUGGCCUCAAAUCAGGUAGGACUACCCGCUGAACUUAA